This 440-nucleotide ribosomal RNA is filed under the name uncultured Sphingobium sp. RNAcentral's name for it is "bacterial SSU rRNA". It matches the Rfam family "Bacterial small subunit ribosomal RNA", at positions 338 to 795 of the family's 1533-position model. Lineage: Bacteria; Pseudomonadati; Pseudomonadota; Alphaproteobacteria; Sphingomonadales; Sphingobiaceae. The record is from RNAcentral.
CCUACGGGUGGCAGCAGUAGGGAAUAUUGGACAAUGGGCGAAAGCCUGAUCCAGCAAUGCCGCGUGAGUGAUGAAGGCCUUAGGGUUGUAAAGCUCUUUUACCCGGGAUGAUAAUGACAGUACCGGGAGAAUAAGCUCCGGCUAACUCCGUGCCAGCAGCCGCGGUAAUACGGAGGGAGCUAGCGUUGUUCGGAAUUACUGGGCGUAAAGCGCACGUAGGCGGCUAUUCAAGUCAGAGGUGAAAGCCCGGGGCUCAACCCCGGAACUGCCUUUGAAACUAGAUAGCUUGAAUCCAGGAGAGGUGAGUGGAAUUCCGAGUGUAGAGGUGAAAUUCGUAGAUAUUCGGAAGAACACCAGUGGCGAAGGCGGCUCACUGGACUGGUAUUGACGCUGAGGUGCGAAAGCGUGGGGAGCAAACAGGAUUAGAUACCCUUGUAGUC